Molecule: ribosomal RNA, 460 nt
Filed under: uncultured bacterium
Lineage: Bacteria
Description: partial 16S ribosomal RNA
Rfam family: Bacterial small subunit ribosomal RNA
Source: RNAcentral
CCUACGGGAGGCAGCAGUGAGGAAUAUUGGUCAAUGGACGAGAGUCUGAACCAGCCAAGUAGCGUGAAGGAUGACUGCCCUAUGGGUUGUAAACUUCUUUUAUAAAGGAAUAAAACGAGGCACGUGUGCCUUUUUGCAUGUACUUUAUGAAUAAGGAUCGGCUAACUCCGUGCCAGCAGCCGCGGUAAUACGGAGGAUCCGAGCGUUAUCCGAAUGUAUUGGGUUUAAAGGGAGCGUAGAUGGGUUGUUAAGUCAGUUGUGAAAGUUUGCGGCUCAACCGUAAAAUUGCAAUUGAUACUGGCAGUCUUGAGUACAGUUGAGGUAGGCGGAAUUCGUGGUGUAGCGGUGAAAUGCUUAGAUAUCACGAAGAACCCCGAUUGCGAAGGCAGCUUACUAAACUGUGACUGACAUUGAUGCUCGAAAGUGUAGGUAUCAAACAGGAUUAGAUACCCUUGUAGUC